AUUUGUGGGGAGGGUGAGGAAUCACUUACAAGAAAACUUGGAGCCUGUAUCAGCUUUUGAGGAAGGCAUACUGCCUUCCUCAAACAGGUGCAUUUCCACGACUGCAGAGGGUGUAUUUCUCUAAUAUCCUUACCACUUGUCUGCCUUAUAAAUGUUAUGCAGGAACAACAGCUGACCUGUAGUUUGAACAGAAAUUUGAGAAAACUUUGGCAGCCAGCCCGCAUAGCUGCAAUGAAGAAAACCUGAAGCACAGACACAGGAAAAGGGAUG
This 270-nucleotide long non-coding RNA is filed under the name Chinchilla lanigera (long-tailed chinchilla). RNAcentral's name for it is "lncRNA (ENSCLAG00000023007.1)". The record is from RNAcentral. Lineage: Eukaryota; Metazoa; Chordata; Mammalia; Rodentia; Chinchillidae.